This 165-nucleotide ribosomal RNA is filed under the name uncultured bacterium. Its description in RNAcentral is "partial 16S rRNA". It matches the Rfam family "Bacterial small subunit ribosomal RNA", at positions 355 to 511 of the family's 1533-position model. The record is from RNAcentral.
UAGGGAAGUCUUCCACAAUGGGCGAAAGCCUGAUGGAGCAACGCCGCGUGUGUGAUGAAGGGUUUCGGCUCGUAAAACACUGUUGUAAGAGAAGAAUGACAUUGAGAGUAACUGUUCAAUGUGUGACGGUAUCUUACCAGAAAGGAACGGCUAAAUACGUGCCAC